AAGAGUUGCAAAACUCCCUUUACACCAUCGCGAACGUUACCCACAUCGCCGUUGCCUCGGCGGAGCGUUGUCCUGUGCUUCUCAAGUAUAGGGUAACUCCCGCCGGGAGAUCGGCACAACCAAACUCUUAUAAUUAUUGGCCUCUCUGAGUAAGAUUUUUAAAUAAGUCA
RNAcentral lists this unclassified non-coding RNA (170 nucleotides) under uncultured Lasiosphaeriaceae. RNAcentral describes it as "sequence contains ITS1". Lineage: Eukaryota; Fungi; Ascomycota; Sordariomycetes; Sordariales; Lasiosphaeriaceae. The record is from RNAcentral.